UGGGUAGUUUAACCUUUCGAGGAGGACGCUCACCACUUUGUGGUUCAUGACUGGGGUGAAGUCGUAACAAGGUAGCGCUAGGGGAACCUGGCGCUGGAUCACCUCCUUAUACGAUGAU
Molecule: ribosomal RNA, 118 nt
Filed under: Vibrio sinensis
Lineage: Bacteria; Pseudomonadati; Pseudomonadota; Gammaproteobacteria; Vibrionales; Vibrionaceae
Description: Vibrio sp. BEI233 partial 16S ribosomal RNA
Rfam family: Bacterial small subunit ribosomal RNA
Source: RNAcentral